Molecule: transfer RNA, 72 nt
Filed under: marine sediment metagenome
Description: tRNA-Ile
Rfam family: tRNA
About the family: Transfer RNA (tRNA) molecules are approximately 80 nucleotides in length. Their secondary structure includes four short double-helical elements and three loops (D, anti-codon, and T loops). Further hydrogen bonds mediate the characteristic L-shaped molecular structure. tRNAs have two regions of fundamental functional importance: the anti-codon, which is responsible for specific mRNA codon recognition, and the 3' end, to which the tRNAs corresponding amino acid is attached (by aminoacyl-tRNA synthetases). tRNAs cope with the degeneracy of the genetic code in two manners: having more than one tRNA (with a specific anti-codon) for a particular amino acid; and 'wobble' base-pairing, i.e. permitting non-standard base-pairing at the 3rd anti-codon position.
Source: RNAcentral
GGGCCGGUAGCUCAAAGGCAGAGCGCCCGGCAGAUAACCGGGAACAUGCCGGUUCGAAUCCGGCCCGGCCUG